Long non-coding RNA from Bombus pascuorum, 342 nucleotides. RefSeq lists it as uncharacterized. The record is from RefSeq and is a predicted model, not a curated record. NCBI's taxonomy places the organism in Eukaryota, Metazoa, Arthropoda, Insecta, Hymenoptera, Apidae. The transcript has 3 exons.
CGGGCGCGGUUGCGAGCAAACCACCGCCGAUCACGCCAGCUUGUCCAACCGCCAGCAAGCAACCACAAAUCACCAAGAACUGAAAAACAAAGGGAAAGAAGACGAUGAAUUAUUUCAGUGCACCGUCAUUCGAACAUUUAUUUUUCAUUCGGUUUCCAAGUUAAACGGCGGGCUUUUUCAGACCCUUCGUAACGUUAGAAACGUUGCUUAGUAUGGUAGGAGCUGCUUUCUUCACCGAUUGGAAGCGACAAACGAAUUGAAUGCAUCUAGUGGAUUUGUCAGCCUAUUUAUACGUAACCUCUUGUAAUCCUGUCCAGAUAGUUAACUUGAAACAUUUUUUCA